This 86-nucleotide transfer RNA is filed under the name Zetaproteobacteria bacterium. Its description in RNAcentral is "tRNA-Leu". It matches the Rfam family "tRNA". From Rfam's summary of the family: Transfer RNA (tRNA) molecules are approximately 80 nucleotides in length. The record is from RNAcentral. Lineage: Bacteria; Pseudomonadati; Pseudomonadota; Candidatius Mariprofundia.
GCCGGGAUGGUGGAACUGGUAGACACACGAGACUUAAAAUCUCGAGGGCCUUGCCCGUGCGGGUUCGAGCCCCGCUCCCGGCACCA